Saccostrea cuccullata (small rock oyster) is the source of this 774-nucleotide long non-coding RNA. RefSeq lists it as uncharacterized. Lineage: Eukaryota; Metazoa; Mollusca; Bivalvia; Ostreida; Ostreidae. The record is from RefSeq and is a predicted model, not a curated record. The transcript has 2 exons.
GAUAUUUUCAAAUCUGAAUCAGCUGAUCACCAAACGGAAACGCUAUGGAGUCUACUGGUGAGGCCACGCCACGGAUUGCUGAUUGAGAUCGGUGAUAAAGGGAAAUGGAGUGCUAUGAACAGUCCACAGUUUUGUUGCUUCAUCACCGCACAUAAGAAUCUAGAUCUAAUUCAUUCAUAUGAAGACGCCAACACGUUCCGGUGAAGGGCUGCAUAUUUUAACCUGUACUCAGCACUAAAGCCUUUGAAAAGUGAGAGAUCUUUUUCGUACCAACACCUACAUGAACUGCGACACUGGAACUCGGUUUAUAUGGUUUCAUUCAAAGGACCGGACAAUCUACAUGCAGUGAUGUCAGAGACUGAUGAUUCAAACAAAAUUCUGCUUUUUAAAAAAGACAAGUGUUCUUCAUUCCUAAAAGUAGAGGGAAGGGACAGUAGAGGACAUGAACAGUAUGAUGUAAUGGUGGAUUUAUAACUUACAAUAAAAAAAUUCUAGAAAGUGAAUUUGUUGAAAGAAAUAAAGAAAAAAAACUUCAUUUGUUCAUGUGAACACCAUGAUUCUUUUAAUUUAUUUAUUUGACUUUAUUGACAUAAUAUAAUGCAAGUGAAAAAGAGUGAAUAUGGGACAUGAAUUGUAAAACUAUUAAUCUAAUAAUUCCAUGAUUACACUAUUUCAUAAAAUUCUAAAAGAUGUUAUGGGACACUUUUUAAUUUCAUUUAUAUUAUAAUUUCAUUGGUUAACUUGGCAUUGACUAUAAAUAAAUUGUAAUUUUUA